CCUCGGGUGGCAGCAGUGGGGAAUAUUGGACAAUGGGCGAAAGCCUGAUCCAGCCAUGCCGCGUGUGUGAAGAAGGCCUUCGGGUUGUAAAGCACUUUCAGUGGGGAAGAAAGCCUUGGGGCUAAUACCCUCGAGGAAGGACAUCACCCACAGAAGAAGCACCGGCUAACUCCGUGCCAGCAGCCGCGGUAAUACGGAGGGUGCGAGCGUUAAUCGGAAUUACUGGGCGUAAAGCGCGCGUAGGCGGUCUGAUAAGCCGGUUGUGAAAGCCCCGGGCUCAACCUGGGAACGGCAUCCGGAACUGUCAGGCUAGAGGGCAGGAGAGGAAGGUAGAAUUCCCGGUGUAGCGGUGAAAUGCGUAGAGAUCGGGAGGAAUACCAGUGGCGAAGGCGGCCUUCUGGACUGACACUGACGCUGAGGUGCGAAAGCGUGGGUAGCAAACAGGAUUAGAUACCCGUGUAGUC
This 464-nucleotide ribosomal RNA is filed under the name Vreelandella stevensii. RNAcentral describes it as "partial 16S ribosomal RNA". It matches the Rfam family "Bacterial small subunit ribosomal RNA", at positions 339 to 795 of the family's 1533-position model. Lineage: Bacteria; Pseudomonadati; Pseudomonadota; Gammaproteobacteria; Oceanospirillales; Halomonadaceae. The record is from RNAcentral.